UGGGGAAUAUUGGACAAUGGGCGAAAGCCUGAUCCAGCCAUGCCGCGUGUGUGAAGAAGGUCUUCGGAUUGUAAAGCACUUUAAGUUGGGAGGAAGGGCAGUUACCUAAUACGUGAUUGUUUGACGUACCGACAGA
Molecule: ribosomal RNA, 136 nt
Filed under: uncultured bacterium
Lineage: Bacteria
Description: partial 16S ribosomal RNA
Rfam family: Bacterial small subunit ribosomal RNA
Source: RNAcentral